Molecule: long non-coding RNA, 372 nt
Organism: Schistocerca cancellata (South American locust)
Lineage: Eukaryota; Metazoa; Arthropoda; Insecta; Orthoptera; Acrididae
Exons: 4
Source: RefSeq, a predicted model, not a curated record
CUGCCUGCACUGUCAUUUGUGCCAGUCCCUCUCAGUCAAGGUAACACAACAGACAAUCAGGGUAUAUGCUGCAAAUUGCACAGAACAUUUCCACGAGCCUUGAACAAUUUUGCUUCAGAUCUAGGAACAAAACUCUAGAAGAUGAAAACUAUUUCUGCAUUGCUAAGCUGCUGCAAGUGACGCCUGGGAACUAACCAUAGAUACAGCCUAGAUAGGAGUAAUGUCAGACAGGGUACAUUACCUCUAUGUUAAUAAUGAAGAAACGUAAACAGGCAAACAAUACAACAGAAGCAGUUACAGAAGAAAAAGCUCAGCCUAUUGACACAGGUGACCUUUCUGAUAGUGAUGAAAAUCAAGGAUUUGGAAGUUGGC